GGAGGGGUGGCUGAGCGGCCGAAAGCGACGGUCUUGAAAACCGUUGGGGCGCAAGCCCCCGUGGGUUCGAAUCCCACCCCCUCCGCCA
Molecule: transfer RNA, 88 nt
Filed under: Lentisphaerae bacterium ADurb.BinA184
Lineage: Bacteria; Pseudomonadati; Lentisphaerota
Description: tRNA-Ser
Rfam family: tRNA
About the family: Transfer RNA (tRNA) molecules are approximately 80 nucleotides in length. Their secondary structure includes four short double-helical elements and three loops (D, anti-codon, and T loops).
Source: RNAcentral